GAGUAUGUAUCUCUGCAUUAAUGCAAACCUUUCUUGUUACUGUUCUAUUAUGUCUAUCUCGACUAUUUUGUUCUACAUUUUGCUAAUUUAAGCAUUUGCACUUUUGUUUCCUUUGCUUGAUUCAGGUGCUGCCUCACUGUGAAGGUAAAGUUCUGUCUAUUCUGGCAUUUGAAUACAUUUUCCGAGCUGUAUCCAACUAUUUUAUAGUCACUUAGGUGUGUGUUCUCUCAGACGGGGUUUUGUUUUUUUUUUGCAGGGACUAACACACUGUCUUCUGUCUAUUCUGGCAUUCGAAUUCGUAUUCCGAGCUGUAUCCAACUAUUUUUUAUAGUCACUUAGGUGUUUGUGUCCUCAGAUGGGGGUUUUUUUUUUUUU
Molecule: long non-coding RNA, 375 nt
Filed under: Nicotiana benthamiana
Lineage: Eukaryota; Viridiplantae; Streptophyta; Magnoliopsida; Solanales; Solanaceae
Description: long non-coding RNA (NBEN_LNC030783)
Source: RNAcentral